GGCGGACGGGUGAGUAACACGUGGGUAACCUACCUCAAAGAGGGGAAUAGCCUCCCGAAAGGGAGAUUAAUACCGCAUAACAUCAUAGCUUCGCAUGAAGCAAUGAUUAAAGGAGUAAUCCGCUUUGAGAUGGACCCGCGGCGCAUUAGCUAGUUGGAGAGGUAACGGCUCACCAAGGCAACGAUGCGUAGCCGACCUGAGAGGGUGAUCGGCCACAUUGGAACUGAGACACGGUUCAGACUCCUACGGGAGGCAGCAGUGGGGAAUAUUGCACAAUGGGCGAAAGCCUGAUGCAGCAACGCCGCGUGAGUGAUGACGGUCUUCGGAUUGUAAAGCUCUGUCUUUUGGGACGAUAAUGACGGUACCAAAGGAGGAAGCCACGGCUAACUACGUGCCAGCAGCCGCGGUAAUACGUAGGGGGCAAGCGUUAUCCGGAAUUACUGGGCGUAAAGGGUGCGUAGGCGGU
RNAcentral lists this ribosomal RNA (466 nucleotides) under uncultured Clostridium sp. RNAcentral describes it as "bacterial SSU rRNA". It matches the Rfam family "Bacterial small subunit ribosomal RNA", at positions 97 to 579 of the family's 1533-position model. The record is from RNAcentral. Lineage: Bacteria; Bacillati; Bacillota; Clostridia; Eubacteriales; Clostridiaceae.